CGUAAACGCCUAACACGCCGAAGCGGAACCCCCAAUAGCUCACCAAGAGGCCGGUGGCGCCGAUCAGGGCGUUGAUCGCGGUCAUGUCGCCGGUCCAGAAUUCGUGGACCAGAGAACCACCCACAAAGCCCCGCAUUCCAGAGUUAAUUCGGCCCGGCUCAUCCCCUCGAUCAGAAACCGGCGCUGCGCCUUCGACCAGCCCUUCCAGGCGUCGCGAAAGCUC
This 223-nucleotide unclassified non-coding RNA is filed under the name Hevea brasiliensis (rubber tree). Lineage: Eukaryota; Viridiplantae; Streptophyta; Magnoliopsida; Malpighiales; Euphorbiaceae. The record is from RNAcentral.